GAUCAUGGCUCAGGACGAACGCCGGCGGCGUGCUUAACACAUGCAAGUCGAACGAAGAGCGAUGGAAGCUUGCUUCUAUCAAUCUUAGUGGCGAACGGGUGAGUAACGCGUAAUCAACCUGCCCUUCAGAGGGGGACGAACAGUUGGAAACGACUGCUAAUACCGCAUACGAUCCAAUCUCGGCAUCGAGGAUGGAUGAAAGGUGGCCUCUAUUUAUAAGCUAUCACUGAAGGG
This 234-nucleotide ribosomal RNA is filed under the name uncultured bacterium. RNAcentral describes it as "partial 16S ribosomal RNA". It matches the Rfam family "Bacterial small subunit ribosomal RNA", at positions 15 to 225 of the family's 1533-position model. The record is from RNAcentral.